This 490-nucleotide ribosomal RNA is filed under the name uncultured bacterium. Its description in RNAcentral is "partial 16S ribosomal RNA". It matches the Rfam family "Bacterial small subunit ribosomal RNA", at positions 30 to 507 of the family's 1533-position model. The record is from RNAcentral.
AUUGAACGCUGGCGGCAGGCCUAACACAUGCAAGUCGAACGGUAACAGGAAACAGCUUGCUGUUUCGCUGACGAGUGGCGGACGGGUGAGUAAUGUCUGGGGAACUGCCUGAUGGAGGGGGAUAACUACUGGAAACGGUAGCUAAUACCGCAUAACGUCGCAAGACCAAAGAGGGGGACCUUCGGGCCUCUUGCCAUCGGAUGUGCCCAGAUGGGAUUAGCUAGUAGGUGGGGUAACGGCUCACCUAGGCGACGAUCCCCAGCUGGUCUGAGAGGAUGACCAGCCACACUGGAACUGAGACACGGUCCAGACUCCUACGGGAGGCAGCAGUGGGGAAUAUUGCACAAUGGGCGCAAGCCUGAUGCAGCCAUGCCGCGUGUAUGAAGAAGGCCUUCGGGUUGUAAAGUACUUUCAGCGGGGAUGAAGGGAGUAAAGUUAAUACCUUUGCUCAUUGACGUUACCCGCAGAAGAAGCACCGGCUAACUCCGUG